RNAcentral lists this long non-coding RNA (742 nucleotides) under Fukomys damarensis (Damara mole-rat). Its description in RNAcentral is "lncRNA (ENSFDAG00000032600.1)". Lineage: Eukaryota; Metazoa; Chordata; Mammalia; Rodentia; Bathyergidae. The record is from RNAcentral.
UGAGGCAGGAUUAUAUAGGGUUGGGGAUACUCUCCCUUUUUAUAGGUGCUAUUUUUAUCUUUCGCUUAUUCUUGGAUAUUUGAGGGGUACUGGGAGGGCACUUACUGGAAAAUUACCAAUACCUAUGUUUACAGAAUCAAUCCUCUUUUUAAAGAACAUCUGAUUAAACAAAUUCUAUAAUUAACAAAGACUACAUAUGUAAGCAGUGACUAAUGCCUAUAUUAGCAGUGGCUACCUAUGUAAGCUGUGUCUAGUACCUAUGUUGGCUAAAUCAGUUUUUCCUUUUAAAGAACAUUGAUUAUUUUAAGCAGGGAGAGUUCAUCUUUAGAUCAUAAAAAGAGGAACAGAAACAGGGUGGAGAUGGCCUAAGACAGCUUGCCCUAAAAAGAGGAACGGAACACUGGGAGACUGUCAUACAGAAUGGAAUUUUUGCAGCUCUGUUCUGGGCAAGGGGCACAGAGGUGGGCAAAAGGUCACAGAGGGAGCCCACCUUGACCUGAAAACUUGGUCCCUACAUUGACCAUUGUUUAAGUUCUGGAUGAGUCCGGCUGCCUCAGGCUGGUGAGCUCACCACAGGGUGCUGGCCAUGGAGCUGGGCUCAGCAGUGUCCCAUGUGAGCCCAGAAGACUGGAACCUUCUGGGGGAAAAAAUCCUUGCUUUUUCUCUCUGGAUCUGAAACGGAAUAAGAGUAAUCGAACAGGAAACGCACAAAGUAAAAUUUACCGAAAUAGAUGACCGGGAC